GGCUCUCCAAGGCACUCUCUGAGAAUCUCUUCAGUUUUCUCGCAUUUCCUGACGAACUUUCCACGCUCCACCUCCUCCGUCUUGCACUGCGACUUCACCACCUUCCUCGUAGAGCAUACCUUCCCAGAGGAUGAAUCAGGGCUUUUCCAAUAUUCGCUAAUUUCAUCAACAGGCGACGACGACUUGAGCUCGUCUGGCUCGUCGUCUGUCCAAACCCACCCCAUUUUUGGUAUCUAUUGCUGGUUACAACUAGUCUGCUUCUCGCAAAAUCC
Molecule: unclassified non-coding RNA, 272 nt
Filed under: Hevea brasiliensis (rubber tree)
Lineage: Eukaryota; Viridiplantae; Streptophyta; Magnoliopsida; Malpighiales; Euphorbiaceae
Source: RNAcentral